CAGAUCCAAAUCUUUAAAAGGCAUACAUAUCUGAAAAAUCGGUCUCAAAAUGAGUUGCCUUUGCAGCCUGGAGAGCUGUGCGCAGUGCCACAGGAGGAAAUUUCACUGGUGAGUGAAAUAAGCAAGAUAGGAGUUGAAGUGUACAUGAAGCAGAGUCCAAGCCUUCUCCUUCUGGAUGUUCAGCUGGAUCAUCCUGACUGCUCCCACUUUCAUCUUGGCUUUCAAAGGCAAGAGGAAAUUAUAAGGAAUAUUCUGAGUGGCUUUCAUCCAGGAGUUCUGUGGGACCCGCAACACCUGGAUGGUAGAUGCAAACAGAUAAAGAAUAUUGGUCACCAAAAGGAGUUCUUUUCAUCAUAGAUCUCUGAAGGUAGACACCUAUUUGCAGACUUCUCAAAGGGCUAUAUGGAUGUGCUCUACUUGUUGGAGGAUGGUCCAUCCACUCUUCUUCCUGUACUUACCAGGACAGAACAGCCGCAACUUCUCAGACAAUUCAUUCUUCUUUUCCUCACCUACUACCAUCUAAGAAAGGUACUUGUCGACUGUGGCUUUGGACAAGAGUCCUUUUCUUACCACAGGGUGGGCAGCACCAGCUCAUUAGAACCAUUUGUGUGACUGACUGAAGACAGCUCACCUUGGAACACUGCA
Gorilla gorilla gorilla (western lowland gorilla) is the source of this 645-nucleotide long non-coding RNA. RefSeq lists it as uncharacterized. NCBI's taxonomy places the organism in Eukaryota, Metazoa, Chordata, Mammalia, Primates, Hominidae. The record is from RefSeq and is a predicted model, not a curated record. The transcript has 4 exons.